Molecule: transfer RNA, 85 nt
Filed under: Sphingorhabdus buctiana
Lineage: Bacteria; Pseudomonadati; Pseudomonadota; Alphaproteobacteria; Sphingomonadales; Sphingorhabdaceae
Also listed under: 4 other names
Description: tRNA-Leu
Rfam family: tRNA
About the family: Transfer RNA (tRNA) molecules are approximately 80 nucleotides in length. Their secondary structure includes four short double-helical elements and three loops (D, anti-codon, and T loops).
Source: RNAcentral
GCCCCUGUGGUGGAAUUGGUAGACGCGCUCGACUCAAAAUCGAGUACCGAAAGGUGUGCCCGUUCGAGUCGGGCCAGGGGCACCA